AGUGAACGCUGGCGGUAGGCCUAACACAUGCAAGUCGAACGGCAGCACAGUAAGAGCUUGCUCUUACGGGUGGCGAGUGGCGGACGGGUGAGGAAUACAUCGGAAUCUACUUUUUCGUGGGGGAUAACGUAGGGAAACUUACGCUAAUACCGCAUACGACCUACGGGUGAAAGCAGGGGAUCUUCGGGCCUUGCGCGAUUGAAUGAGCCGAUGUCGGAUUAGCUAGUUGGCGGGGUAAAGGCCCACCAAGGCGACGAUCCGUAGCUGGUCUGAGAGGAUGAUCAGCCACACUGGAACUGAGACACGGUCCAGACUCCUACGGGAGGCAGCAGUGGGGAAUAUUGGACAAUGGGCGCAGGCCUGAUCCAGCCAUACCGCGUGGGUGAAGAAGGCCUUCGGGUUGUAAAGCCCUUUUGUUGGGAAAGAAAAGCAGCAGGUUAAUACCCCGCUGUUCUGACGGUACCCAAAGAAUAAGCACCGGCUAACUUCGUG
Molecule: ribosomal RNA, 492 nt
Filed under: uncultured bacterium
Lineage: Bacteria
Description: partial 16S ribosomal RNA
Rfam family: Bacterial small subunit ribosomal RNA
Source: RNAcentral